UCUGGUGGUAAUAGCGAAGAGGUCACACCUGUUCCCAUGCCGAACACAGUAGUUAAGCUCUUCAGCGCCGAUGGUAGUUGGGUUCACCCUGCGAGAGUAGGACGCUGCCAGGC
RNAcentral lists this ribosomal RNA (113 nucleotides) under Terribacillus halophilus. The record is from RNAcentral. Lineage: Bacteria; Bacillati; Bacillota; Bacilli; Caryophanales; Bacillaceae.